GACGAACGCUGGCGGCGUGCCUAAUACAUGCAAGUCGAACGCUUCUUUCCUCCCGAGUGCUUGCACUCAAUUGGAAAGGGGAGUGGCGGACGGGUGAGUAACACGUGGGUAACCUACCCAUCAGAGGGGGAUAACACUUGGAAACAGGUGCUAAUACCGCAUAACAGUUUAUGCCGCAUGGCAUAAGAGUGAAAGGCGCUUUCGGGUGUCGCUGAUGGAUGGACCCGCGGUGCAUUAGCUAGUUGGUGAGGUAACGGCUCACCAAGGCCACGAUGCAUAGCCGACCUGAGAGGGUGAUCGGCCACACUGGGACUGAGACACGGCCCAGACUCCUACGGGAGGCAGCAGUAGGGAAUCUUCGGCAAUGGACGAAAGUCUGACCGAGCAACGCCGCGUGAGUGAAGAAGGUUUUCGGAUCGUAAAACUCUGUUGUUAGAGAAGAACAAGGACGUUAGUAACUGAACGUCCCC
This 470-nucleotide ribosomal RNA is filed under the name Enterococcus faecalis. RNAcentral's name for it is "bacterial SSU rRNA". It matches the Rfam family "Bacterial small subunit ribosomal RNA", at positions 28 to 479 of the family's 1533-position model. The record is from RNAcentral. Lineage: Bacteria; Bacillati; Bacillota; Bacilli; Lactobacillales; Enterococcaceae.